UUUCAUUCCAGAUGAAUUUGUGGAGUGCUUGUUCUAGAUCUCUGAAAUAUGUGGUUGGUAUUUUAAUAGGGAUUGCACUGAAUCUAUAGAUUGCUUUGGAUUGUAUGGAUAUUUUAAUGAUGUUGAUUGUACCAAUCCAUGAACACGGUAUGUUCUUCCACUUGUUUAUGUUU
Pipistrellus kuhlii (Kuhl's pipistrelle) is the source of this 173-nucleotide long non-coding RNA. RefSeq lists it as uncharacterized. NCBI's taxonomy places the organism in Eukaryota, Metazoa, Chordata, Mammalia, Chiroptera, Vespertilionidae. The record is from RefSeq and is a predicted model, not a curated record. The transcript has 4 exons.